CGCACAUUGCGCCCCUUGGUAUUCCGAGGGGCAUGCCUGUUCGAGCGUCAUUAUCACCCCUCAAGCCCCGUGCUUGGUGUUGGACGGCCGGUCGAGCGAAUCGACCCCUCCGAAAGACAAUGACGGCGGCCUGUGGUUCCCCCGGUACACUGAGCUUUUUACGGAGCACGUACCGGACAAAGGGCGCCCGGGACCCGGUCCUCUCCUUUCACUAGGAAACUUUUCAAGGUUGACCUCGGAUCAGGUAGGAAUACGCGCUGAACUUAA
This 267-nucleotide unclassified non-coding RNA is filed under the name Cladophialophora sp. Its description in RNAcentral is "partial contains 5.8S ribosomal RNA, internal transcribed spacer 2, and large subunit ribosomal RNA". The record is from RNAcentral. Lineage: Eukaryota; Fungi; Ascomycota; Eurotiomycetes; Chaetothyriales; Herpotrichiellaceae.